UAAGUCUGGUGCCAGCAGCCGUGGUAAUUCCAGCUCCAGUAGCGUAUAUUAAAGUUGUUGCAGUUAAAAAGCUCGUAGUUGGACCUUGGGCCUGGACGGGCGGUCCGCCUCACGGCGUGUACUGUCUUGCCGGGCCUUUCCUCUUGGUGAUCUGUUGUUUCGGCAGCAGGGAACCAGGACCUUUACUUUGAAAAAAUUAGAGUGUUCAAAGCAGGCUCGACGCCGGAAUAUAUUAGCAUGGAAUAAUAAAAUAGGACGUGCGGUUCUAUUUUGUUGGUUUUUGGAAUCGCCGUAAUGAUUAAUAGGGACAGUCGGGGGCAUUAGUACUCACAUGCUAGAGGUGAAAUUCUUGGAUUUUGUGAAGACUAACUUCUGCGAAAGCAUUUGCCAAA
Molecule: ribosomal RNA, 392 nt
Filed under: uncultured fungus
Lineage: Eukaryota; Fungi
Description: SSU rRNA
Rfam family: Eukaryotic small subunit ribosomal RNA
Source: RNAcentral